Long non-coding RNA from Lepus europaeus (European hare), 222 nucleotides. RefSeq lists it as uncharacterized. Lineage: Eukaryota; Metazoa; Chordata; Mammalia; Lagomorpha; Leporidae. The record is from RefSeq and is a predicted model, not a curated record. The transcript is spliced from 3 exons.
CUGAGAGCAGCUCAGAGCAGCGGACGCCCAGGGGAGCUGCGCAGCCCUGCAGGGAGGCGCCUGGGUCCUGAGGUUGCAGGAGGCAAAGCCGCUCCUGCCCAGUGGACGAGAACAGCAGCACUCACGGCCGGCAGGACAAAGCGGCCUUCGAGGCUGGGGGUCCCGUGGCACCGCAGAGUAUGGGUAGGACUCUGCACAUCACAGCCCGGGGCGACCACCCCC